This 892-nucleotide ribosomal RNA is filed under the name uncultured bacterium. Its description in RNAcentral is "bacterial SSU rRNA". It matches the Rfam family "Bacterial small subunit ribosomal RNA", at positions 505 to 1397 of the family's 1533-position model. The record is from RNAcentral.
GUGCCAGCCGCCGCGGUAAUACGUAGGUGGCAAGCGUUGUCCGGAUUUAUUGGGCGUAAAGCGAGCGCAGGCGGUUUUUUAAGUCUGAUGUGAAAGCCUUCGGCUCAACCGAGGAAGUGCAUCGGAAACUGGGAAACUUGGAUGCAGAAGAGGACAGUGGAACUCCAUGUGUAGCGGUGAAAUGCGUAGAUAUAUGGAAGAACACCAGUGGCGAAGGCGGCUGUCUGGUCUGUAACUGACGCUGAGGCUCGAAAGUAUGGGUAGCAAACAGGAUUAGAUACCCUGGUAGUCCAUACCGUAAACGAUGAAUGCUAAGUGUUGGAGGGUUUCCGCCCUUCAGUGCUGCAGCUAACGCAUUAAGCAUUCCGCCUGGGGAGUACGGCCGCAAGGCUGAAACUCAAAGGAAUUGACGGGGGCCCGCACAAGCGGUGGAGCAUGUGGUUUAAUUCGAAGCUACGCGAAGAACCUUACCAGGUCUUGACAUACUAUGCAAAUCUAAGAGAUUAGACGUUCCCUUCGGGGACAUGGAUACAGGUGGUGCAUGGUUGUCGUCAGCUCGUGUCGUGAGAUGUUGGGUUAAGUCCCGCAACGAGCGCAACCCUUAUUAUCAGUUGCCAGCAUUAAGUUGGGCACUCUGGUGAGACUGCCGGUGACAAACCGGAGGAAGGUGGGGAUGACGUCAAAUCAUCAUGCCCCUUAUGACCUGGGCUACACACGUGCUACAAUGGAUGGUACAACGAGUUGCGAACUCGCGAGAGUAAGCUAAUCUCUUAAAGGCAUUCUCAGUUCGGAUUGUAGGCUGCAACUCGCCUACAUGAAGUCGGAAUCGCUAGUAAUCGCGGAUCAGCAUGCCGCGGUGAAUACGUUCCCGGGCCUUGUACACACCGCCCGU